Molecule: transfer RNA, 69 nt
Filed under: Geoscapheus dilatatus
Lineage: Eukaryota; Metazoa; Arthropoda; Insecta; Blattodea; Blaberidae
Description: tRNA-Ser
Rfam family: tRNA
About the family: Transfer RNA (tRNA) molecules are approximately 80 nucleotides in length. Their secondary structure includes four short double-helical elements and three loops (D, anti-codon, and T loops).
Source: RNAcentral
AGUUAUUUAUCUAUUGAAAGAAUUAUGUUUUGAAAGCAUAUAUAAGAGGUUAAAAUCCUCUAUUAACUU